Molecule: ribosomal RNA, 2563 nt
Filed under: groundwater metagenome
Description: bacterial LSU rRNA
Rfam family: Bacterial large subunit ribosomal RNA
Source: RNAcentral
CGAGUAUUACUCGAUGCUCUAUUGUGAAUAAAUAAACUUUAGAGUGGGCACCGUCCGAACUGAAACAUCUAAGUAGGGCGAGGAAAAUAAAACAAUUAGUGAUUCCCUAAGUAGUGGCGAGCGAAAGGGGAAAAGCCUAAACCCUUCGAUUCGAUUUUGCUCCGCAAAAUCUCACUCAGGGCUAUAGCCAGAGUAAGAUUAAACGGGUCAUGACCUCAUCGAGUCUGAGCGACGAGGUCGCUAGACCUCAGAGUCGAUGACCCGAGCGAGGCGAAGCCGAGUCGAGGGGGGUUGCGGGACUCUAAUGUGGGAUUCAUUUAAGGUAGCUGAACUGUCUGGAAUGACAGACCAAAGGGAGUGAAAGUCUUGUAAGCGAAACUUUAAAUGACCCUAUGAGUAUCCCAAGUACUACGGGACACGAGAAAUCCUGUAGGAAUCUGGCGGGACCAUCCGCUAAGGCUAAAUAUGUGUUGUGACCGAUAGUGAACUAGUACCGUGAGGGAAAGGUGAAAGAGUACCCCGGGAGGGGAAUGAAAAGUACCUGAAAUUGAACGCUAACAAGCAGUGGGAGCUCGGACUUGUCCGGGUGACCGCGUGCCUAUUGAAGAAUGAACCGGUGAGUUUUCCCAUUCUGUAGUCUAAGCCCGGCAAACGGGCGGAGGCAUAGUGAAAGCGAGCGUGAAGUGCGCGAUUUAUUACAGGAUGGUAAAGACCCGAAACCGUGUGAGCUAACCAUGACCAGGAUGAAGUUUCGCGAAAGCGAGGUGGAGGUCCGAACCAGUGUCAGCUGCAAGUGGCUUGGAUGAGUUGUGGUUAGGGGUGAUAUACCUAUCGAACACGGAGAUAGCUGGUUCUCCCCGAAAUAUAUUUUGGUAUAGCCCGUAUUUUUAAACCCUGGGGGUAGAGCACUGGAUGGAUCGUGGCGAGUUUACUUGUCGCAUUCAACCAAACUGCGAAUACCGGGGCGUAUAAAUGCGGAGUCAGUCCGUGAGGGAUAAGCCUUACAGGGCAAAAGGGAAACAGCCCAGACCCAAAGCUAAGGUCCCGAAGUGUAUCUUAAGUGUAAAAGGUAGUACUUGUGCUUAGACAGCAAGGAAGUUGGCUCAGAGGCAGCCAUCUUUUAAAGAAAGCGUAACAGCUCACUUGUCGAUUUGGCGCAGGUGCGCCGAUAAUUCAACGGGGCUAAAGAUACCACCGAAGCUUGGGAUUAUCACCCCAAUUUUCUUUCGAAAAUUGGGGACCCCGCAAGAAAAAUUGUAGGGUCAAAUUUCCGAUGGAAAUUUGGGGUGGUAGUGGUAGGGGAGCGUUUGCAUUGCAGUGAAGUUUGCGGGUAACCGUGAGUGGAGCGAUGUGAAGUGAGAAUGCCGGUAUGAGUAGCGAAAGUCCCGUGGGAAUCGGGACCGCCGAAUGUCCAAGGUUUCCUACGCAACGUUCGUCGACGUAGGGUUAGUCGGUCCUAAGGCGAGGCCAGAAGGCGUAGUCGAUGGAUAUGCAGUUAAUAUUCUGCAACUUUUUUCAAAUCGUUAUCACUAAAGGGAUAACGGAGAUGGAAUAUUUCUAGGUCGAAAUGAUACGGCCUCUAAAGAGUAAGGAAGUAAAAUGCGGAAAAUCCCUUUUUAUGAUUAUUCGAACUCUUAUGGCUAGUCGGCGCAAGCUGGCAAGAGAAAUGGUUUCAACUUCCAAGAAAUUUUCUCGUUAGGAGAUUUGGGAAAAACCGUACCGCAAACCGACACAGGUGGACUGGUAUCAGUGUACUAAGGCGAGCGAGAAAACUUUCCUUAAGGAACUCGGCAAUACAACUGGACGUACCUUUGGUAGAUGUCCUCCCCGGAGCAAUCCGGGGCGCAGUUAACGACGCCAGGCGACUGUUUAACAAAAACACAGGUCUCUGCUAAGUCGAAAGAUGAUGUAUAGGGGCUGACACCUGCCCAGUGCUCGUAGGUUAACCGUUUGAGGUGACCCUGAUUUAUCAGGGAGGCUUCGGAUGUAAGCCCGGGUAAACGGCAGCAGUAACUAUAACUGUUCUAAGGUAGCGAAAUUCCUUGUCGGGUAAGUUCCGACCCGCACGAAAGGUUGAACGAUCUGGCGACUGUCUUGAGGAAAGACUCGGCGAAAUUGCAAUGGCUGUGAAGAUGCGGCCAACUUACACCAGGACAAAAAGACCCCGUGGAGCUUUACUGUAGCUUGGCAUUUUUAAGGUUUUUGGGACUGUAUAGCGUAGGAGGGAGCCUUCGGGCGCCAAUGUAACACCUCUCUUUCUAAUGACUUUAGAUCACCGUACUUCCUAAUAACAAACGGGAUGCGGGACAGUGUCUGGCAGACAGUUUGACUGGGGCGGUCGCCUCCAAAAAGGGAACGGAGGCGUACAAAGGUCGACUCAAGUCCUACAGAAACGGACUUUUAGAGUGCAAUGGCAUAAGUCGGCUUGACUGCAAGUGGUACAUCACGAGCAGGUGCGAAAGCAGGUCAUAGUGAUCCUCACAUAGCUUAUGGGAGCGUGUGAGCUUAACGGAUAAAAGCUACCCCGGGGAUAACAGGCUUAUCUUCCCCAAGAGUCCAUAUC